ACGGAGGGUGCAAGCGUUAUCCGGAAUUACUGGGCGUAAAGAGUGCGUAGGCGGAUUGAUAAGUGUGAGGUGAAAGCCUAUAGCUCAACUAUAGAACUGCUUUCGAAACUGGGGGACUGGAGUAUGGGUGAGGAAGCCGGAAUCUGUGGUGUAGCGGUGAAAUGCUUAGAGAUUAGACGGAACACCAGUGGCGAAGGCGGGUUACUGGACCGUAACUGACGCUGAGGCACGAAAGCGUGGGGAUCAAACAG
RNAcentral lists this ribosomal RNA (251 nucleotides) under uncultured prokaryote. RNAcentral describes it as "partial 16S rRNA". It matches the Rfam family "Bacterial small subunit ribosomal RNA", at positions 525 to 775 of the family's 1533-position model. The record is from RNAcentral.